UAGGGAAUAUUGCAAAAUGGGCGAAAGCCCGAUGCAGCAACGCCGCGUGGGCGAUGAAGGCCUUCGGGUCGUAAAGCCCUUUUUGAGGGGAUGAGGAAGGACAGUACCCUCAGAAUAAGCCUCGGCUAACUAAGUGCCAGCAGCCGCGGUAAAACGUAGGAGGCGAGCGUUAUCCGGAUUUACUGGGCGUAAAGCGCGUGCAGGCGGAUUGGAGAGUUGGAUGUGAAAGCUUCCGGCUUAACUGGGAGAGGUCGUUCAAUACUUCCAUUCUUGAGUGCAGUAGAGGGAAGUGGAAUUCCGGGUGUAGUGGUGAAAUGCGUAGAUAUCCGGAGGAACACCAGUGGCGAAAGCGGCUUCCUGGACUGUAACUGACGCUCAGACGCGAAAGCUAGGGUAGCAAACG
Molecule: ribosomal RNA, 403 nt
Filed under: uncultured bacterium
Lineage: Bacteria
Description: bacterial SSU rRNA
Rfam family: Bacterial small subunit ribosomal RNA
Source: RNAcentral